AUACAGAGGUGGCGAGCGUUGUUCGGAUUCAUUGGGUGUAAAGGGUGCGUAGGCGGUUUGAAAAGUCAGAUGUGAAAUCCCACAGCUCAACUGUGGAACUGCAUCUGAAACUUUCAUACUAGAGUGUGAGAGAGGUGAAGGGAAUUCCCGGUGUAAGGGUGAAAUCUGCAGAGAUCGGGAGGAACACCAGCAGCGAAGGCGCUUCACUGGCUCGCAACUGACGUUGAGUGCACGAAGGCGUGGGGAGCGAACGGGAUUAGAAACCCCAGUAGUCC
RNAcentral lists this ribosomal RNA (275 nucleotides) under uncultured bacterium. RNAcentral's name for it is "partial 16S ribosomal RNA". It matches the Rfam family "Bacterial small subunit ribosomal RNA", at positions 523 to 796 of the family's 1533-position model. The record is from RNAcentral.